AUGGGUGGUUUUGCUAAUCAGUUCAAAGCUCAAAUAACAAAAUUCCUCGCUGGAUUGUAUCGUUCUUUUUUAUUGUUUUUUUUCUUGAUUGAUAUCAGCCACUCCAAGUCCUUUUAUCCAGCCAUGAUAGAGAUCCAUUCAAAUCAGUUGUUCUAUGUUUACACAUUCAGAUAUACUAGUUGGUCUGCUGAAAGAUACGAUAUGUGUACUGUUGAUAAUCUCAAACAUGUUUUACUCAACUUUAGAAAACAUGUAAUAUUGUUGUGCUGCUUUGCAAUGUCUCCAGCAGUCCUACUUCUCCAUGAUGACAAGGACGAUGUCGCCAUGCGUGCAUGCUCUCCUUUCUUUCUCCUUCCGAGACGGUGA
Molecule: ribosomal RNA, 366 nt
Filed under: Triticum aestivum (bread wheat)
Lineage: Eukaryota; Viridiplantae; Streptophyta; Magnoliopsida; Poales; Poaceae
Description: partial small subunit ribosomal RNA
Source: RNAcentral